This 484-nucleotide ribosomal RNA is filed under the name uncultured bacterium. RNAcentral's name for it is "bacterial SSU rRNA". It matches the Rfam family "Bacterial small subunit ribosomal RNA", at positions 12 to 518 of the family's 1533-position model. The record is from RNAcentral.
UUCGAUUCUGGCUCAGAUUGAACGCUGGCGGCAGGCCUAAUACAUGCAAGUCGAACGGUAACAUAGGAAAAGCUUGCUUUACCUGAUGACGAGUGGCGGACGGGUGAGUAAGUAUUUGGGAAGCUACCUGAUAGAGGGGGACAACAGUUGGAAACGACUGCUAAUACCGCAUACAGCCUGAGGGUGAAAGCAGCAAUGCGCUAUCAGAUGCGCCCAAAUGGGAUUAGCUAGUAGGUGAGGUAAAGGCUCACCUAGGCGACGAUCUCUAGCUGGUCUGAGAGGAUGAUCAGCCACAUUGGGACUGAGACACGGCCCAGACUCCUACGGGAGGCAGCAGUAGGGAAUAUUGCACAAUGGAGGAAACUCUGAUGCCAGCCAUGCCGCGUGUGUGAAGAAGGCCUUCGGGUUGUAAAGCACUUUCGGAGGGGAGGAGAAUGACGUUACCCUCAGAAGAAGCACCGGCUAACUCCGUGCCAGCAGCCGC